This 253-nucleotide ribosomal RNA is filed under the name uncultured bacterium. RNAcentral's name for it is "partial 16S ribosomal RNA". It matches the Rfam family "Bacterial small subunit ribosomal RNA", at positions 524 to 776 of the family's 1533-position model. The record is from RNAcentral.
UACAGAGGUCUCAAGCGUUGUUCGGAUUCAUUGGGCGUAAAGGGUGCGUAGGCGGCGCGGUAAGUCGGGUGUGAAAUCUCGGAGCUUAACUCCGAAACUGCAUUCGAUACUGCCGUGCUUGAGGACUGGAGAGGAGACUGGAAUUUACGGUGUAGCGGUGAAAUGCGUAGAUAUCGUAAGGAAGACCAGUGGCGAAGGCGGGUUGCUGGGCCGACACUGACGCUGAGGCACGAAGGCCAGGGGAGCAAACGGG